CAGCUUGCCUUGGAAUUCGGGCCCCCCUAGCCCCCACCGAAACCCUGAUCGGAUCCAGCUCCGAGGUCACAGGAGGAAGGCGGUGGAGAAGUGUCAGGAACCCCUGGCCCGGAGCGCAGAGCUAUUUGUGGACGAGUUGUCAGAAGUAAAGAGACAGAGGCAGCGCCGGCCCAAUAGGGCCAGCGCUCUGACUGUCGCCAACUUACCUAUCUGGACACAGGCAACCCCCAGGCCCAAUCCCCCUCUCGUAGCCCCCCUAAAUCUCUCUUUUCCUAGUCCCCCACGCCACUCACCAUGUCUCGGAGCACUUGGGCCUCUCAAAGCAGUACUCGCCUAGUCUGUUUCCACUCAAGGCAGCCACAGCUUCACUUCCUGCUUACUCCAACUUUCUGCCCGCCUCCUGCCCAUCCCGCGACUCCAGCCUCUCCAGCUCCUGCCACACCUAACUGCAGGUUUCUCCAGUUCCUCAAAGCUGUUUUUGUUCAAAGCUGGAAGAACUAAGUCUUCUCAUAUGAGCAUGGAAUGAAUGGGCAGGGAUUAACAAAAGCAAAAGGAUGAGGUCUCACAGGAAACAUCCAGGUUGGUCUGGAACUUACUAUGUACCUGAGGACAACCUUGAACUCCCAAUACUCCUGGCUCCACCUUCUGAGUGUUGGCUUGCACCACCACAUUUAGCAUUGAUGUAUAUUUUUUGAAAUUUAUUUUUAUUAUUUUUAGUUAUGUGUGUAGGUCUGUGUGAGGGAUUGUGCACAUGAUUGCAGGUGCCCUCAGAGGCCAGAGGUCUGGAAUCCCCCAGGAUCUGGAGUUAAAGAGAGUCCUCUCUACAAGGGCAAGACCAAACACGCUCUGAACGGCUGCCCUCUCUCCACACCUAGAUACUCAUUUAUAAAUCUUCUCAAUGUAAAGCUCUUCAGAAUAGGAGCUGGAAAGACACUCAGUUGCUACUCUGCAGAGGACACAGGUCUAUUCCCAGCACCACAUUCUGGGGCUCAUAACCCAUUGUAACUCCAGCUACAGGUUAUCUGACACUCUCUUCUGGUCUUUGUGGGCACCUGCACACACAAGGCAUAUAGAUACACAAAUACACACAUCAAUAAAAAGAGAUCUUUAAAAACAUCUCCAGAGCUGGGGUUGUAGCUCAGACAUACAGUGCUUGCCUAGUGUACUCUAGGAUUUGGGUUUGAGUCCCAGCAUUACACACACACAUACACACACUUAAAAAAAAAAAAAGCCAGAACUCAUAGCACAUGUCUGUAAUACCAGGACUCAGGAGGUAGAAGCAACAGAACUGAUAGUUCAUGGUAACCCUCACCUACAGUGUUUGAGCCAGCCUGGGCCACAUGAGACCCUAUCUCGAAACAGAACAAAAAUAAACACAGAAAACUA
Peromyscus eremicus (cactus mouse) is the source of this 1386-nucleotide long non-coding RNA. RefSeq lists it as uncharacterized. The record is from RefSeq and is a predicted model, not a curated record. NCBI's taxonomy places the organism in Eukaryota, Metazoa, Chordata, Mammalia, Rodentia, Cricetidae. The transcript has 3 exons.